GAUGAAGAACGCAGCGAAAUGCGAUAACUAAUGUGAAUUGCAGAAUUCAGUGAAUCAUCGAGUCUUUGAACGCACAUUGCGCCCCCUGGUAUUCCGGGGGGCAUGCCUGUCCGUGCGUCAUUGCUGCCCUCAAGCACGGCUUGUGUGUUGGGCUCCGUCCCCCCGGGGGCGGGCCCGAAAGGCAGCGGCGGCACCGAGUCCGGUCCUCGAGCGUAUGGGGCUUUGUCACCCGCUCUGUAGGCCCGGCCGGCGCCAGCCGACAACCCAUCAUCCUUUUCAGGUUGACCUCGGAUCAGGUAGGGAUACCCGCUGAACUUAAGCAUAUCAAUAAGCGGAGGA
Molecule: unclassified non-coding RNA, 339 nt
Filed under: soil metagenome
Description: partial contains 5.8S ribosomal RNA, internal transcribed spacer 2, and large subunit ribosomal RNA
Rfam family: 5.8S ribosomal RNA (bases 1-120)
Source: RNAcentral